GUAAACACUACGAAUAGAAAAGUAGAAUUAGUUCAGCUAAAAAGCGAGCCUGAGAUAGUGAAAGCAGGUAUAGCAUGGAAUUAAUUUGAAAGUAGUCUAUGAGUGGCUAAGGCGACAGAUAAUGAAGUUUUAGCAGGGAGUGCCCGUUAUAGCACCAGCGUAUCUGAAAUAAUCACGUACGCGUAAGGCAUUAUUAGUGAUAAUAAUGUAAACAAAAGGUGGUAACACGCUCAUAAAGCGUCCUUUAA
Molecule: non-coding RNA, 248 nt
Filed under: Lactobacillus kalixensis
Lineage: Bacteria; Bacillati; Bacillota; Bacilli; Lactobacillales; Lactobacillaceae
Description: T-box sequence
Rfam family: T-box leader
About the family: Uncharged tRNA acts as the effector for transcription antitermination of genes in the T-box leader family. T-boxes are found upstream of many aminoacyl-tRNA synthetase genes and some amino acid biosynthetic genes usually in Gram-positive bacteria.
Source: RNAcentral